AACGAACGCUGGCGGCGUGCUUAACACAUGCAAGUCGAACGAAGUGGCGAACGGGUGAGUAACGCGUAAUCAACCUGCCCUUCAGAGGGGGACAACAGUUGGAAACGACUGCUAAUACCGCAUACGGAAGGAGGGGAUUGAGUUGGAUUGGCUAGUUGGGGGGGUAACGGCCCACCAAGGCGAUGAUCAGUAGGCGGUCUGAACGGGUGAACUGCCACAUUGGGACGGAGGCACGGCCCAAACUCCUACGGGAGGCAGCAGUGGGGAAUCUUCCGCAAUGGACGGAAGUCUGACGGAGCAACGCCGCGUGGGUGAUGACGGCCUUCGGGUUGUAAAGCUCUGUUAAUCGGGACGCGGUACCGGAAUAGAAAGCCACGGCUAACUACGUGCCAGCAGCCGCGGUAAUUC
Molecule: ribosomal RNA, 408 nt
Filed under: uncultured bacterium
Lineage: Bacteria
Description: partial 16S ribosomal RNA
Rfam family: Bacterial small subunit ribosomal RNA
Source: RNAcentral